This 290-nucleotide unclassified non-coding RNA is filed under the name Hevea brasiliensis (rubber tree). The record is from RNAcentral. Lineage: Eukaryota; Viridiplantae; Streptophyta; Magnoliopsida; Malpighiales; Euphorbiaceae.
GAAGGAAGAAGAAAAAAAUAAUAUGAAGAACCAUUACAUCCAAUAACUCUAGAAAGGGCACAGAAAAGCCUUUCUUCAGUGACCUCCUCAUUUCUCCUCUCCAACACAUUGACAACUCAAACAUCAUAACAGGCAUAACCGAGCUAAGACAAAACCAGGACUUAAACAUCUGAGAUGCAAUUGAAGAUAAUCAAGAUGGGGACAUUGAUUUUGCCUACACUGUUCUUCUCACUGUAAUACUGGGCACUUGAGGCAACUAAGUUUAUAUACUCAACUCAACUAAGCUUUUA